Molecule: long non-coding RNA, 680 nt
Organism: Gasterosteus aculeatus aculeatus (three-spined stickleback)
Lineage: Eukaryota; Metazoa; Chordata; Actinopteri; Perciformes; Gasterosteidae
Source: Ensembl
GUUGAGAACACGGCUCUUUGUCUGUGUAAAUAUGCAUCGGGAGCACACAGGUAAAUGGGCGAGGACUGAGGACAAUCACUAAUUAUCAAUCACUAAAAUCGAUUCUACAACAUUCCAGAUGCCUUGCAUUCAAAACAUGUCUUAAAGAAGCACAACAGGUUAACAUCAUCCAAUUUGAAGGAAGAGAGUAUAUUUUAAAAAAAGCCCAAUCCCCACAGUUUAAACAAAGACACGCGUGUUGUCUUUCGAGGACUGACGACUCGGGGGACCCGGUGUUUGAGAAGUCAAUCCAACUUCUGGUUUUAAUAACUGCAUCUUUUUUAACAGCGAUAUACUAUACUCGUUCAGCUAAAAUAACUCAUUGUAACGUUGAAUAAGAACUGUAACCCACACGUAAUUGAGGCUAGUCGGCUAAUCUAGCAUAGGACGAACCAGGUUGUUGUCUUUUUUUUUAUUGGGUAUACUAGUGAAAGACAAUGUUUUUAUGUUCACACACAGUGGCUUCAGAUGUUAGUGGUAAUUAGAGCUUCAUGCUGCAAGAGGCUUCUUAAGUACUGCCAACACUGUGAUUAAUAAAGGAGCAGUUUUACAAUAUGACAUUCCAAUAAAUGCAGAAAUGGACAGGGGGAAAGUGGAGUGCUGUGAUGAACUGUUGGGACGUGGGUUUGACUUGGUACAGA